UACGUAGGGGGCGAGCGUUGUCCGGAUUUAUUGGGCGUAAAGAGCUCGUAGGCGGCUUGGCAAGUCGGGUGUGAAACCUCCAGGCUCAACCUGGAGACGCCACUCGAUACUGCUAUGGCUAGAGUCCGGUAGGGGACCACGGAAUUCCUGGUGUAGCGGUGAAAUGCGUAGAUAUCGGGAGGAACACCUGCGGUGUAGACGGCUUACUGGACCAUAACUGACGCUGAGGCACGAAAGCGUGGGUAGCAAACAGG
Molecule: ribosomal RNA, 254 nt
Filed under: uncultured bacterium
Lineage: Bacteria
Description: partial 16S ribosomal RNA
Rfam family: Bacterial small subunit ribosomal RNA
Source: RNAcentral